GGGGUCUCCUGCGGCAACGGGGGCAGCAAGCCCGCGUAGAAGAAGCGCUGGUACCGGGGGUCCCAGUACACAGGCUGCGGCGACAGGUGUCUGGAAUACCUGUUGUUGUUGGCAUCCUAGACGGCUCCUAUAUCAAAAUACAGUGCCCAGACAACAACGUCUCUUCCACCUACUGCAACCGGCACCAUUACCUUUCAUUAACCCUUCAAGCGGUCUGUGACCACAAAUAACGAUUCCUUGACUCCUGCAUUAGAAGCUCCAGCAAAACUCACGAUUCCCGAAUCUUCAAGCUAUCAUCGCUAUCAAAGAAACUUCCCAAACUAUGCGAGGACAAUGUGUACCACCUGCUUGGAAAUGCGGCCUAUCUCUUGAGGCAGUACCUUCUGACUCAUUUCAGAGACUAUGGAGCGUUGUCAAAGGCACACAUGGAUUUCAACAAAAAGUUUUCAGCAAUGAGGAUUCUAACAGAAGACAGUUUUAGCAACCUAAAGAAAACGUUCCAUCUACUAAUCUACCUUGAGCUCCACACUGUAAAGUGGCUGAACAAAUUUAUUAUUGCCUGUUGCAUAGCGCACAACUUAUGCAUUGAGUGCGGAGACCUGGAGCCAGAUGAACCAAACGAUGAUGUAUCGCCUCAAUAUGUCCAGUGGCAUCCACAAUCAUGCACCGAUAACCUGGAUGAGACUACCGAAGAAACUUCGCUGUGCAGACUGGGAGAAAUAAAAAGGAGCAAGGUGCUGGAAGCAGUGCUGCAAAAGCAGUAGUGGUGCGCAACAACUAAUGAACUCAUGAAAAUGGCAGGUGUGUAAGGAGUGUAAUAAAUUGCUACAUUUGUUGUAA
This is a long non-coding RNA of Dermacentor andersoni, 840 nucleotides long. RefSeq lists it as uncharacterized. The record is from RefSeq and is a predicted model, not a curated record. Lineage: Eukaryota; Metazoa; Arthropoda; Arachnida; Ixodida; Ixodidae.